UGCCAAUGGCAUUGCCCGGUAGCUAAGUGCGGAAAAGAUAAGUGCUGAAAGCAUCUAAGCACGAAACUUGCCCCGAGAUGAGUUCUCCCUGACUCCUUGAGAGUCCUGACGGGACGUUGAAGACUACGACGUUGAUAGGCCGGGUGUGUAAGCGCAGCGAUGCGUUGAGCUAACCGGUACUAAUGACCCGUGAGGCUUAACCUU
This 204-nucleotide ribosomal RNA is filed under the name Buchnera aphidicola. RNAcentral describes it as "partial 23S ribosomal RNA". It matches the Rfam family "Bacterial large subunit ribosomal RNA", at positions 2727 to 2925 of the family's 2925-position model. The record is from RNAcentral. RNAcentral also lists the same sequence under 3 other names. Lineage: Bacteria; Pseudomonadati; Pseudomonadota; Gammaproteobacteria; Enterobacterales; Erwiniaceae.